This 1680-nucleotide long non-coding RNA is filed under the name Elaeis guineensis (African oil palm). Its description in RNAcentral is "long non-coding RNA (EGUI_LNC013697)". The record is from RNAcentral. Lineage: Eukaryota; Viridiplantae; Streptophyta; Magnoliopsida; Arecales; Arecaceae.
GGGGCAGAAUUACAUAGCAAUGCUGAUCAUUGACAAAACCACCUUGAAGGAAUAGGAAUUGAUACCUCAGAAGUGCAGCAAAAUUCUGUUUUGUUCACAUGCCAGGCAAGGAAACUCAGACGUAGUUCAUAAACACAAAUAACAUACAAGCAAGAGCCAGAGAAAUCAGCACCAAGAGAAUCUCAAAAUUGCAAAAGAGAAGUUCUUAAAAUUAACAAUGAGAGCAAUAAAUAAAACAAAACUGCACAAAGAUACAAAGAGAGACCUGCUCCUCACCUGUCUUAUCCUUGACGUCAGAAAUCCUGCACCAAUAGGACACCACAGAGAUCAGGCACCAACAACAAUUGUGGCUAGCAGUAUGUGGCUGUUACACAAGUACUGCUGCCAAAAUUGGAUAAUGCUGGAAUAAAACAGUAAUCUGGUCGAGUGAAACUUCUGGUGACCAUUCGGUGACAAUGCAAACUUUGGCCACAGGCAGGGAUAAUUUGAGCUGGUAAAUGUGAAUAACAGGGAUUGCUUUAGCCAUUAGGGGUUACAUUUAACUAUUCCAGGUCAACAAGAAACUGCCAAGCAGAAACAAAAAAAAUUUAAACAAACAGCUGUAAGGAUAAUCCACCACAUCAACAGCACAUUAAAAAAUUAUCCACCACACUAGCUAAAUGUGAAGAGGGGAAUACUAAAAGGUAAUCGACAAACUAUAAACAUUAUAUGAAGCCUAAACACGGGCACCACAUGUCCAACCAAAUCAUUUUCCCUCCAUCCCUUAAUUGCAUAAACCAAAGAUCCCUUAUAUCAGCAACUAAAAUUAAAGCAUGAAUCGAAACUAUGAUCCCAAAACAUGAAGAAAGAUAAAACUCAAAUAUAAAGCGUUGCAUUCUGCUUGGCAACAUGAAACGAUCGUGCUUACAUUAAGGGAGAAAUUCAUACAUACAAUGAUGGACCACAUGAUACAUGUAAGAUAGGAUUGGACAUCUCCUAGACUGGGAGUCCCAUCUUUUUUGACAGUUGUUGCUUCACUUUCCAAAUAACAAAUGGAUCAAGCCAUAUUUAUUUGAAUUACCUUGUGUUUGAUCCAAUACAUAUAAUUUCCAGUGGAGGAAUAUUUACAAAUUGUGAAAACAUUCUGGAUAACUACCAAAAUUUGUGAAUCCUUUGGAGUACCUAAUAUAACAAUCAAAUGCAGUUCACGAAAAACUAUGCAAUAGCUUUGCUGGUAUUACGAAAAAGGUGUGCAGUAUAGAUACAGGAUGUCAGCAACCGUCGAAGCAAGAAGCCAUACUUAAGCAAUAUGCAGAUCACCUCAGAUCAAAAGGAGGAUGAGCAAGACUAAACCAAGCAUCAUUCUUCUUGCAACAUUAGUAAAAGAUGGUCCUUGUACUCUUAAAGAGAAACAUCAAAGGCACCCACAAAUGAAAGAGAUACCUUGGAUACUCCCAUCCAAACAAGACACCCACACAUAAUCAAAUAAAUAAAUAAAUAAACAUUAGUCAAUCGAAGGAAGAGCAUAUAGAUGCAUUACCAGGUAGGAUCUCCAAGAAAACCACCCGUGAAGGAUAAAAGAAACCAUACAAUCCUCAUUCAUAUUGUUAUCUUUACAGCAAAGCCUAUCCACAGAAAUGGUCUCUCAGGUCAAAAGGGAACAAACAAAGUGCCAUUUCCAUACACAGGAUGAAGUGUUUG